GCCACGUCACGGUUCCCAGCCUGCACCCUUUCUGCUUAUUUGUGACAUCUGGUUCUUUACGGGAAUGUUUCAUUCGCUAAAUACUCUUCCGUGCUGCAGCCUCUGGCGCAGCAUGUAAUUGCUGAGCGUUGAAUUAUGUGAUAGCAUUUGGAAAGCUACUGCGCACGAGAUUAUGCCCAGCGUGGCUAAUCUAGAAUAAUCCACAGCCCAGGCAGCGAUGCUCUCAGCGCAGGGGAGCAUUCUGGCAAUGAGAGCAGCUUACUGAAUGAUACCAAAACAGAGCAUCAGGAAGUCCCAUCGAGUCAAACGCCAAUGCAAAUCCCCCGUUGGGUGGAAUAAUAACAAGAGAAUCCAUUAAUAAUGAGAGAAUUGGGCAAUCAGAUUCCAGUGGGUGAAAUCACAUGUGCCUCAUAUGCUACAGAUUACGUCUGAGCAGAUGGAGAGAGAGCAACGUGCAUAGGAUGCUGAUUCUAAAAGUGAAGAAUGUGUGGGAAACAAGUGGUGUAUCAGCGUUUGAUUUCGGUCGAGGGCAAUUCUAUGCACACCAAUGAGAACUGGGUCAACCACUGUGUGAAAUGCAUUACACUUAAUAAUAGUAAUGUCUAGAGAAGUGAAGUUGCAUUAUACAUAUGAAAUGUUUUUUCAAGUCUUUGGGUCUGCAGCUAAAAGUAGAAAAUUGCUUGCAAUCAGACAAGUCUUGUGAGGUCCCCAAAUUAAAUUUUUUCUGGUCCCGUGCUUUAGAUUUGGGUUGGAGUCUGCACCUCUGGUAAUGGGCCUCACAUGUUACCGAUCCUGUGGCAGAACUCGAGUUCGACCCAUUGGCAGAUCUAAUACUGCAUGCUGGAUCUAUACACACUUUUUGAGCUGCAUUAAGCGGGCCUAAUUGUACAUGUAAAUUCUGCAUUAAACUUUUAUUGAAAAGUAAAAAUACUGAUCAUCUAUUUCAGCAUACAUUAGAAAAUACAACUACAAACGUG
RNAcentral lists this long non-coding RNA (977 nucleotides) under Sinocyclocheilus grahami. RNAcentral's name for it is "lncRNA (ENSSGRG00000052020.1)". The record is from RNAcentral. Lineage: Eukaryota; Metazoa; Chordata; Actinopteri; Cypriniformes; Cyprinidae.